AGUGAACGCUGGCGGUAGGCCUAACACAUGCAAGUCGAACGGCAGCACAGUAAGAGCUUGCUCUUACGGGUGGCGAGUGGCGGACGGGUGAGGAAUACAUCGGAAUCUACUUUUUCGUGGGGGAUAACGUAGGGAAACUUACGCUAAUACCGCAUACGACCUACGGGUGAAAGCAGGGGAUCUUCGGACCUUGCGCGAUUGAAUGAGCCGAUGUCGGAUUAGCUAGUUGGCGGGGUAAAGGCCCACCAAGUCGACGAUCCGUAGCUGGUCUGAGAGGAUGAUCAGCCCCACUGGAACUGGAACGCGUACCAGACUCCUACGGGAGGCAGCAGUGGGGAAUAUUGGACAAUGGUCGCAAGCCUGAUCCAACCAUACCACGUGGGUGAAGAAGGCCUUCAGGUUGUAAAGCCCUUUUGUUGGGAAAGAAAAGCAGCAGGUUAAUACCCCGCUGUUCUGACGGUACCCAAAGAAUAAGCACCGGCUAACUUCGUG
Molecule: ribosomal RNA, 492 nt
Filed under: uncultured bacterium
Lineage: Bacteria
Description: partial 16S ribosomal RNA
Rfam family: Bacterial small subunit ribosomal RNA
Source: RNAcentral